RNAcentral lists this ribosomal RNA (301 nucleotides) under uncultured bacterium. Its description in RNAcentral is "partial 16S ribosomal RNA". It matches the Rfam family "Bacterial small subunit ribosomal RNA", at positions 509 to 807 of the family's 1533-position model. The record is from RNAcentral.
CAGUCGCCGCGGUAAUACGAAGGGUGCAAGCGUUACUCGGAAUUACUGGGCGUAAAGCGUGCGUAGGUGGUUGUUUAAGUCUGCUGUGAAAGCCCUGGGCUCAACCUGGGAAUUGCAGUGGAUACUGGGCGACUAGAGUAAGGUAGAGGAUAGUGGAAUUUCCGGUGUAGCAGUGAAAUGCGUAGAGAUCGGAAGGAACAUCUGUGGCGAAGGCGACUAUCUGGGCCAUUACUGACACUGAGGCACGAAAGCGUGGGGAGCAAACAGGAUUAGAUACCCCUGUAGUCCCUGUCUCUUAUAC